ACGUUUGAAGCGUGGAAUUUACUUGAAGAUGCUGAAAAAAUCAUGGCACGAUAGAUAUGUAACGUGCCACGAUGAUUGAAUAAAUAUACUGCCACAUAUGAAUUAAUUGGAUGAGCCACGUGAACAAUUGUUUUGCUUUUGGGUGGUGUGAAUAAUAAAAAGAUUACGAUCAAAACACAAAAACAUUGUUCACGUGGCUCAACCAAUUUAUUCAAACGUGGCCGUAAAUUUAUUCAAUCAUUGGGGCACAUUACUCAUCCAACGUGCCAUGAAUUUUGAAGCAUCUUAAAUAAAUUCAACGCAUGAAACGUG
RNAcentral lists this microRNA precursor (312 nucleotides) under Medicago truncatula (barrel medic). RNAcentral's name for it is "miR5223 stem-loop (mtr-MIR5223)". The record is from miRBase by way of RNAcentral. Lineage: Eukaryota; Viridiplantae; Streptophyta; Magnoliopsida; Fabales; Fabaceae.